UCGUACGCUUCUUUUUCCACCGGAGCUUGCUCCACCGGAAAAAGAAGAGUGGCGAACGGGUGAGUAACACGUGGGUAACCUGCCCAUCAGAAGGGGAUAACACUUGGAAACAGGUGCUAAUACCGUAUAACAAUCGAAACCGCAUGGUUUUGAUUUGAAAGGCGCUUUCGGGUGUCGCUGAUGGAUGGACCCGCGGUGCAUUAGCUAGUUGGUGAGGUAACGGCUCACCAAGGCCACGAUGCAUAGCCGACCUGAGAGGGUGAUCGGCCACAUUGGGACUGAGACACGGCCCAAACUCCUACGGGAGGCAGCAGUAGGGAAUCUUCGGCAAUGGACGAAAGUCUGACCGAGCAACGCCGCGUGAGUGAAGAAGGUUUUCGGAUCGUAAAACUCUGUUGUUAGAGAAGAACAAGGAUGAGAGUAACUGUUCAUCCCUUGACGGUAUCUAACCAGAAAGCCACGGCUAACUACGUGCCAGCAGCCGCGGUAAUACGUAGGUGGCAAGCGUUGUCCGGAUUUAUUGGGCGUAAAGCGAGCGCAGGCGGUUUCUUAAGUCUGAUGUGAAAGCCCCCGGCUCAACCGGGGAGGGUCAUUGGAAACUGGGAGACUUGAGUGCAGAAGAGGAGAGUGGAAUUCCAUGUGUAGCGGUGAAAUGCGUAGAUAUAUGGAGGAACACCAGUGGCGAAGGCGGCUCUCUGGUCUGUAACUGACGCUGAGGCUCGAAAGCGUGGGGAGCAAACAGGAUUAGAUACCCUGGUAGUCCACGCCGUAAACGAUGAGUGCUAAGUGUUGGAGGGUUUCCGCCCUUCAGUGCUGCAGCUAACGCAUUAAGCACUCCGCCUGGGGAGUACGACCGCAAGGUUGAAACUCAAAGGAAUUGACGGGGGCCCGCACAAGCGGUGGAGCAUGUGGUUUAAUUCGAAGCAACGCGAAGAACCUUACCAGGUCUUGACAUCCUUUGACCACUCUAGAGAUAGAGCUUCCCCUUCGGGGGCAAAGUGACAGGUGGUGCAUGGUUGUC
This 1021-nucleotide ribosomal RNA is filed under the name Enterococcus sp. 411B3_12AEMB. RNAcentral's name for it is "bacterial SSU rRNA". It matches the Rfam family "Bacterial small subunit ribosomal RNA", at positions 62 to 1053 of the family's 1533-position model. The record is from RNAcentral. Lineage: Bacteria; Bacillati; Bacillota; Bacilli; Lactobacillales; Enterococcaceae.